Molecule: ribosomal RNA, 404 nt
Filed under: uncultured bacterium
Lineage: Bacteria
Description: bacterial SSU rRNA
Rfam family: Bacterial small subunit ribosomal RNA
Source: RNAcentral
GUGGGGAAUAUUGCGCAAUGGGGGCAACCCUGACGCAGCAACGCCGCGUGCGGGAUGACGGCCUUCGGGUUGUAAACCGCUUUCAGCAGGGAAGAUAAUGACGGUACCUGCACAAGAAGCCCCGGCUAACUACGUGCCAGCAGCCGCGGUAACACGUAGGGGGCGAGCGUUAUCCGGAUUCAUUGGGCGUAAAGCGCGCGCAGGCGGGCAUCUAAGCGGGACCUCUAAUCUCGGGGCUCAACCUCGAGCCGGGUCCCGAACUGGGUGCCUCGGGUGCGGUAGGGGAGGUCGGAAUUCCCGGUGUAGCGGUGGAAUGCGCAGAUAUCGGGAAGAACACCGACGGCGAAGGCAGACCUCUGGGCCGUCACCGACGCUGAGGCGCGAAAGCUAGGGGAGCGAACAGG